Molecule: long non-coding RNA, 1309 nt
Organism: Musa acuminata AAA Group (dessert banana)
Lineage: Eukaryota; Viridiplantae; Streptophyta; Magnoliopsida; Zingiberales; Musaceae
Exons: 2
Source: RefSeq, a predicted model, not a curated record
UUUUUGCACCCUUGUAAGUAGCUUCUUGGCCAAUGGAAUCAUCGGCUACUUUUUCUUCGUCCUAAGUCUGAAGAACACAGUCUAAUGCUGUGAGAAUCUUCGUGAAAUGACCAUAUUGACCUUCCUCCCGACCUAAAGGUAUGUCCGUUAAAAGUAGGAAACUAAGAACUAAUAAUAGGAGACUUGCUUGUGCAACAGAUAGGGAGAAAGUUGUCAUUUUAUCGCAAGAAAAGAGCAUCGACGGGUGGCUCCUAUCCCGGAGGCGGCCAUCAUUGCGGAUCUUUGGGCCGACCACCUCCAACAACAUCAUGAUGCGGUGGCCACCCCAUGCGAUUUCCCCGUAAUGCCCCCUUCGGCGAGCCACCCUCUCACUCUCUCCUCCCUCCUCGUUCGCUCGAAUCCCCAAAUGCAUGAUUCCUUUGCCGGCCACCAUAUGUUGAGUGUUUGUCUCUCUCUCUCUCUCUCUCUCUCUCUCCUGGUGGAGACAGAGAUGGCCAUCUUGUAUCCUAUAAAUGAGCCCAUACCGCACCCCCCGACAUCUCACUAUCCCACCCAAAUCCCUCUCAUUCGAUUCACUUCUUCGUAAAGGCCUGUGAUCCGAAAGGUGAGCACAUUGGAAGGGCAAACUCAUGCAGUCUUCGUCUUGUUAGCUUUCUCCUUCGUUGGGAUACGAUCUCUCCUCAAGGAGUUGGCGUCCGAUGAUACUUGUUUCCUUGUUGUUACUUUGAGUACAUCUCCUGGACUCACUACCACACCCAGUCUGACGUGAUCUACUCUGCUGCUGCUUGCACUUUCCCCUUAGAUACACUUUGCCUGUUGUUUCAGGCAAAGACAUGGAAAGGGUCAACACCAAGCUGUACUUGCGGAACUACUACAUUCUGAAGGAGAACGAGAGGCUGAGAAAGAAAGCACAGCUUCUCAACCAGGAAAACCAGGCUCUCUUGUCUGAGCUGAAACAGAAGCAGAAGCUGGCCAAGUCCAGUGCCACCUCCAACCCCAUUCCCAGCAUCCCUGACCUCAACACUACUCCCCCAACACCCACCAUGGGCCCCAGUGGAAGCCAGCAUCCCUGAUGAUAGGAAGACACGUCUCUUCCUCGGAACUUUUUAUUUUGGGUUUGAUGGAUUGUGGAUCCUAUACAUGCAGCUGGAUCAGUUUGCCCAACAAGCUGCAGUAGGGCAGUUUUAUGCAUUAUUUCCUCUAAAGAUCUGAAGUUCCCAAAACAAACGUUCCAUUUGAUGCACUCAUACCAAGGCUCCCGCCUCGAUUCCUGCGCCUUAUACAAUGCAGUACAAGAUAAGUUAAGAUA